GAUGAACGCCGGCGGCGUGCCUAAUACAUGCAAGUCGAGCGAACGGACGAGAAGCUUGCUUUUCUGAUGUUAGCGGCGGACGGGUGAGUAACACGUGGAUAACCUACCUAUAAGACUGGGAUAACUUCGGGAAACCGGAGCUAAUACCGGAUAAUAUUUUGAACCGCAUGGUUCAAAAGUGAAAGACGGUCUUGCUGUCACUUAUAGAUGGAUCCGCGCUGCAUUAGCUAGUUGGUAAGGUAACGGCUUACCAAGGCAACGAUGCAUAGCCGACCUGAGAGGGUGAUCGGCCACACUGGAACUGAGACACGGUCCAGACUCCUACGGGAGGCAGCAGUAGGGAAUCUUCCGCAAUGGGCGAAGGCCUGACGGAGCAACGCCGCGUGAGUGAUGAAGGUCUUCGGAUCGUAAAACUCUGUUAUUAGGGAAGAACAUAUGUGUAAGUAACUGUGCACAUCUUGACGGUACCUAAUCAGAAAGCCACGGCUAACUACGU
RNAcentral lists this ribosomal RNA (496 nucleotides) under uncultured bacterium. Its description in RNAcentral is "partial 16S ribosomal RNA". It matches the Rfam family "Bacterial small subunit ribosomal RNA", at positions 28 to 506 of the family's 1533-position model. The record is from RNAcentral.